This 667-nucleotide long non-coding RNA is filed under the name Struthio camelus australis. Its description in RNAcentral is "lncRNA (ENSSCUG00000002698.1)". The record is from RNAcentral. Lineage: Eukaryota; Metazoa; Chordata; Aves; Struthioniformes; Struthionidae.
CAGCUAGUACAGACAGCUUGUGUUUUAACGGCUACGAGGAGAUGGCAGGCCUAGCUUGAACAAAGCCAUAUGUCGUACUCACAAGGGAGAAGAAGUUCAGUUUGAGUCUGGAAGCCUCUGACAAUGUGGAGAAAAUUGACCUCCAGAGCUCUCCUCCUAGGAACUUUGGCAGUUUUGCAGCUCAGAACGACACCAACUUCACAUGAUGAGUGACAAAUACUGGGGCGAGCCGGCUCUGCCAGGGAAACUUCAAAAUGAGCCGAGCAAACACCGGGAGCUUUCUUCAAUCUGUCUCUCUUGGCCUAUUUCACUCAAACACAGUUGGAAGGACAGUGCAUUGACUGUGAUCAAGAGAAUUUCUCACAGCAUGAAAUCUGUAAGAAUGUAGCAGCAAGGUCCCAGCAGAGCAUCAACCAGACGCAGGAGUUUCACUGCGCGAUGUGCUGAUGAGAGCACAGAGCACGACUGCAUUCAACACUGAUGAAACAUAUGAUCUGAAGAAAUCUAGAUUUCAAACUGAAUCAGACUCCUUUGAAUUCUACAUUUUAGAAAAAUGACCUUCGUAGUAUUUGAACACCUUAUGUAAAAUUUCAUGGUUGGUGCCUGUAAGUAAUAUUUUGAAAUAUUUAACACACUUUUCGCUGUGAAUACCGAUAUUAGACUCUUA